UACGAAGGGGGCUAGCGUUGCUCGGAAUCACUGGGCGUAAAGCGCACGUAGGCGGCUUUCUAAGUCAGGGGUGAAAUCCUGGAGCUCAACUCCAGAACUGCCUUUGAUACUGGAGAGCUUGAGUCCGGGAGAGGUGAAUGGAACUCCGAGUGUAGAGGUGAAAUUCGUAGAUAUUCGCAAGAACACCAGUGGCGAAGGCGGCUCACUGGCCCGAUACUGACGCUGAGGUGCGAAAGCGUGGGGAGCAAACAGG
RNAcentral lists this ribosomal RNA (253 nucleotides) under uncultured bacterium. RNAcentral's name for it is "partial 16S ribosomal RNA". It matches the Rfam family "Bacterial small subunit ribosomal RNA", at positions 524 to 776 of the family's 1533-position model. The record is from RNAcentral.